GACGAACGCUGGCGGCGUGCUUAACACAUGCAAGUCGAACGGAAAGGCCCUGCUUUUGUGGGGUGCUCGAGUGGCGAACGGGUGAGUAACACGUGAGUAACCUGCCCUUGACUUUGGGAUAACUUCAGGAAACUGGGGCUAAUACCGGAUAGGAGCUCCUGCUGCAUGGUGGGGGUUGGAAAGUUUCGGCGGUUGGGGAUGGACUCGCGGCUUAUCAGCUUGUUGGUGGGGUAGUGGCUUACCAAGGCUUUGACGGGUAGCCGGCCUGAGAGGGUGACCGGCCACAUUGGGACUGAGAUACGGCCCAGACUCCUACGGGAGGCAGCAGUGGGGAAUAUUGCACAAUGGGCGGAAGCCUGAUGCAGCAACGCCGCGUGCGGGAUGACGGCCUUCGGGUUGUAAACUGCUUUCGCCUGUGACGAAGCGUGAGUGACGGUAAUGGGUAAAGAAGCACCGGCUAACUACGUGCCAGCAGCCGCGGUGAUACGUAGGGUGCGAGCGUUGUCCGGAUUUAUUGGGCGUAAAGGGCUCGUAGGUGGUUGAUCGCGUCGGAAGUGUAAUCUUGGGGCUUAACCCUGAGCGUGCUUUCGAUACGGGUUGACUUGAGGAAGGUAGGGGAGAAUGGAAUUCCUGGUGGAGCGGUGGAAUGCGCAGAUAUCAGGAGGAACACCAGUGGCGAAGGCGGUUCUCUGGGCCUUUCCUGACGCUGAGGAGCGAAAGCGUGGGGAGCGAACAGGCUUAGAUACCCUGGUAGUCCACGCUGUAAACGGUGGGUACUAGGUGUGGGGUCCAUUCCACGGGUUCCGUGCCGUAGCUAACGCUUUAAGUACCCCGCCUGGGGAGUACGGCCGCAAGGCUAAAACUCAAAGGAAUUGACGGGGCCCCGCACAAGCGGCGGAGCAUGCGGAUUAAUUCGAUGCAACGCGUAGAACCUUACCUGGGUUUGACAUGGAUCGGGAGUGCUCAGAGAUGGGUGUGCCUCUUUUGGGGUCGGUUCACAGGUGGUGCAUGCCUGUCGUCAGCUCGUGUCGUGAGAUGUUGGGUUAAGUCCCGCAACGAGCGCAACCCUUGUUCACUGUUGCCAGCACGUUAUGGUGGGGACUCAGUGGAGACCGCCGGGGUCAACUCGGAGGAAGGUGGGGAUGACGUCAAGUCAUCAUGCCCCUUAUGUCCAGGGCUUCACGCAUGCUACAAUGGCUGGUACAGAGAGUGGCGAGCCUGUGAGGGUGAGCGAAUCUCGGAAAGCCGGUCUCAGUUCGGAUUGGGGUCUGCAACUCGACCUCAUGAAGUCGGAGUCGCUAGUAAUCGCAGAUCAGCAACGCUGCGGUGAAUACGUUCCCGGG
Molecule: ribosomal RNA, 1343 nt
Filed under: uncultured bacterium
Lineage: Bacteria
Description: 16S ribosomal RNA
Rfam family: Bacterial small subunit ribosomal RNA
Source: RNAcentral